RNAcentral lists this ribosomal RNA (233 nucleotides) under uncultured bacterium. RNAcentral describes it as "partial 16S ribosomal RNA". It matches the Rfam family "Bacterial small subunit ribosomal RNA", at positions 15 to 236 of the family's 1533-position model. The record is from RNAcentral.
GAUCAUGGCUCAGGAUGAACGCUAGCUACAGGCUUAACACAUGCAAGUCGAGGGGAAAUGAUAGAGAAAGCUUGCUUUUUCUAGGCGUCGACCGGCGCACGGGUGAGUAACGCGUAUCCAACCUGCCCACCACUUGGGGGAUAACCUUGCGAAAGUAAGACUAAUACCCAAUGAUAUCUCUAGAAGACAUCUGAAAGGGAUUAAAGAUUUAUCGGUGAUGGAUGGGGAUGCGU